This 1652-nucleotide long non-coding RNA is filed under the name Nicotiana tabacum (common tobacco). Its description in RNAcentral is "long non-coding RNA (NTAB_LNC000158)". Lineage: Eukaryota; Viridiplantae; Streptophyta; Magnoliopsida; Solanales; Solanaceae. The record is from RNAcentral.
AUGCACCGGUGAGGAGGUGUGAGCGACUGGCUAUGGUGGGUACGAGGAGAGGUAGAGGGAGACCUAAGAAGUAUUGGGGAGAGGUGAUCAGGCAGGACAUGACGCGACUUAGGGUUACUGAGGACAUGACCCUUAACAGGGAAUUGUGAAGGUCGAGCAUUAAGGUUGUAGGUUAUGGGGAAAUUGUGAAUAUUUCUACAACGCACUAGAGUGACACUAGCCAGUUAGGAGUUAGUCUUAGAAUGCUACUGAUCAGCUACUGAUGAUGGGCUUUAUCUGUUGGUUAUUAGUAUACUUUACAUCUUUCUCGUAUUUCCUAUAUUUCUUAUAUUGCUGUUAUUUUGUUAUUUUAUGUUAUGUUAUGGAUUUUAUGUUAUUUUAUGUUAUUUUAUUAUGAGUCUAUUGAUAGUACUAAUAUAACGUCUCUUGUUGCUUUCUUGAGCCGAGGGUCUCCUGGAAACAGCCUCUCUGCCCCUCGGGCUAGAGGUAAGGUCUGCGUACAUAUUACCCUCCCCAGACCCCACUUGUGGAAGUAUACUGGGUUGUUGUUGUUGUUGUUGGUCUUUCUCGAUUAGGACCACGGUUUGUAUUGCUGUUCUGAAUUCUCCCUCAAUUUCAUACAAUUUUUCCCUGUAACCAUGCAACAUAGAAGUAUCUGUUUUAAAUCUCGAUGUUAAAUCAUUAACAUUAAAAGAAAAUUAACCAUUCAAAAAAUAACCAAAACCCAAUACAGUUUUACCCAAAUCAAGAAAUGCAGAUGAAAACAGUGGAAUCUAAUUAAUUAGAAAAUAAUUAAUAAGAAUAAGAUGAGGAGAUAAAACCAAAAAUAACGGAAUUAUAUAUGGUGAAGAUGCUGACAAAUCUCAUACCAACUUAUCAAUCAGCAAGAUCAGAGAGACGGAGGGAGAAACAGUGACAGGGUAAGUAAACCAAGACAGAAAAAGAGAGCCAAAAAUUCAUACCAAGAUGAACAUAGAAGAGAAGCAGAGAGCACGCCCAAGGUUUUGAGGCACUGCAAGGAAAUAACUUGAUACGUAGUGGCUUAUGCAGACACACAUAUGGAAAAUUUCUGAAGUUAUAUUUACCAUUUUACAAAUUUACGAAAAGAACAAUAAAUUGAGAGCUAAUCUGCUAUUAUCCAAAACAUGCAAAAAUAAUAAUAAUCUAAAAUUAGCAUUUAUUCCCAAAUCAACCAAAGAAAUGCAGAGCAUAAAAUGAGAAAAACAGAGGAAAUAAAAAAGAAAAGGAGGAAAACAUACAUCCACAAUCCUAGCAAGAGUCUUGGGAGUGAAGAGGAAAGACGAUUCUUGUAGUUAGACCCAUUUGGGUUCAAACCAAUCAUAUUCUAAGUUCCAAAACCCAAAAAAUUGCAACAAAAAAGACAGUAGAAUGAAAUUAAAGAGAGAAAUCACCAAAAGAUAACCCAUUCGAGAGAUAAGAGGAAGAAGAAUCGUUAGAAAGAUAACAUCAUAAGAAUGAAUUAGGGCUCGAAUUUUACUGUGUAUAAAAAUACAGUGACCAUCUUCAAAAGACCCCAAAUAUAUCAAGAGAGUUGAAAAAGAAAUCAAAAAAUUAAAAUAAGAGCAAAAGGGAAAGAGGAAGAAGAAAAAGAACAACUUACCAGGAAGAGGGAUGGGCUCUGAAAUGGUAGC